This 342-nucleotide unclassified non-coding RNA is filed under the name soil metagenome. Its description in RNAcentral is "partial contains 5.8S ribosomal RNA, internal transcribed spacer 2, and large subunit ribosomal RNA". The stretch from base 1 to 120 matches the Rfam family "5.8S ribosomal RNA", at positions 35 to 154 of the family's 154-position model. The record is from RNAcentral.
GAUGAAGAACGCAGCGAAAUGCGAUAAGUAAUGUGAAUUGCAGAAUUCAGUGAAUCAUCGAAUCUUUGAACGCACAUUGCGCCCGCCAGCACUCUGGCGGGCAUGCCUGUUCGAGCGUCAUUUCAACCAUCAAGCCCCCAGGGGCUUGUGCUGGGGCCCUGCGGCUGCCCGCAGGCCCUGAAAACCAGUGGCGGGCUCGCUAGUCACACCGAGCGCAGUAGCACAUCUCGCUCAGGGCGUGCGGCGGGCUCCUGCCGUGAAACCCCCCACUGUAACCCCAAAGGUUGACCUCGGAUCAGGUAGGAAUACCCGCUGAACUUAAGCAUAUCAAUAAUCGGAGGA